GGGACUGAAAGGUGGUACUAAGAAGCAGAAAUACGAUAAAAUCAGUGAGAAAAAGAUGUUAACACCAGUAGAGGUGCUGUGCAAAUCUUAUCCGUCUGAGUUCAUAUCAUACUUCCACUACUGUCGAUCAUUAAGAUUUGAAGAUAAACCUGACUAUUCAUAUUUGAAGAGGCUUUUUAGAGACUUGUUUAUUCGUGAAGGUUAUCAAUUUGACUAUGUAUUUGAUUGGACAAUUUUGAAGUAUCCUCAGAUUGGUGCCAGUUCUAGAGGACGAAAUCCUAGUGGGAAUGCCGGACUAAAUGCUGGGCCAUCUGCAGAAAGGCCAGGAAGGGCAUCAGUGGGGCAAGAUAUUCGGGAUAGAUUUACUGGUGCUGUUGAAGCAUUUUCCAGAAGGAAUACUUCUGCAGCUGGUAGGCAUGGGGAACACUCCAGACAGAGGACUUCAGAGGAUAUUCCUUCAUCCAAAGAUGUGCAAGCUGAUUCAGAGAGAGGCCGUAGCUCGAGAAAUGGAAGCUCUUCUAAAAGAGCUAUCAUGUCAAGCAGCAAACCGACCUCUUCUGCUGAACCAACGGAUAGUCGCUCAAGCAGAUUAGUGUCAAGCACUGGCCGUCUAUCUACCACACAGAGAAUUCAGCAGGGAAUUGAAACAAAACCAUCAUCAUUCUCGCGAAGUUCACUCACAAAGGGCAACCAUGAUAACCCUCUUCGGAGCUUUGAAUUUCUUUCAAUCAGAAAGUAAGAGAAUGCGCAUAUAAAGAGGGAAUUUCCCGAUUGAUUUACGGAGGAUGUCUCCAAGUGCUGUAAAUUAGUUGAUGUGCUGUACCUUCUAUAUGUGACAAUUGAUGCUUAUCCAACUCAUCAUAUUCCUUGUUUUUGUUUCUAGAUUAGACCAUAGUGCACUUAGACUCAUCCAAAGAAAUAUUGAGUAAAGUGCGAGAGUUUUUUUAUUAAUUAUAUAUGGAUAAAUAUAUUGUGCUACGAAAUUGAUGUUGCUGGAGUGCCUA
RNAcentral lists this unclassified non-coding RNA (1004 nucleotides) under Hevea brasiliensis (rubber tree). Lineage: Eukaryota; Viridiplantae; Streptophyta; Magnoliopsida; Malpighiales; Euphorbiaceae. The record is from RNAcentral.